RNAcentral lists this ribosomal RNA (497 nucleotides) under uncultured bacterium. Its description in RNAcentral is "partial 16S ribosomal RNA". It matches the Rfam family "Bacterial small subunit ribosomal RNA", at positions 28 to 507 of the family's 1533-position model. The record is from RNAcentral.
GAUGAACGCUGGCGGCGUGCCUAAUACAUGCAAGUCGAGCGAACAGACGAGGAGCUUGCUCCUCUGACGUUAGCGGCGGACGGGUGAGUAACACGUGGAUAACCUACCUAUAAGACUGGGAUAACUUCGGGAAACCGGAGCUAAUACCGGAUAAUAUAUUGAACCGCAUGGUUCAAUAGUGAAAGACGGUUUUGCUGUCACUUAUAGAUGGAUCCGCGCCGCAUUAGCUAGUUGGUAAGGUAACGGCUUACCAAGGCAACGAUGUGUAGCCGACCUGAGAGGGUGAUCGGCCACACUGGAACUGAGACACGGUCCAGACUCCUACGGGAGGCAGCAGUAGGGAAUCUUCCGCAAUGGGCGAAAGCCUGACGGAGCAACGCCGCGUGAGUGAUGAAGGUCUUCGGAUCGUAAAACUCUGUUAUUAGGGAAGAACAAAUGUGUAAGUAACUAUGCACGUCUUGACGGUACCUAAUCAGAAAGCCACGGCUAACCACGUG